AGUGGAUUGCAAAAUAUAUAGGACGGUUAUAGAACAGGGGGUGGAAAAAAUAUGGCAGUAGUUUAGCAGCUGCUUUCUCUCUCAUCUCUCAGGCUUUCUUACAGCUGGACUGAAAAUCUCUUGAACUACUUCCAUUAAGCUCAGUUGUCCUAAAUCCUUUCUUUCUCAGAUGGAAGGAAAGCUGCAUCCCUGAUAGCUGGUAUGCAAUGAAGGGAGCAAAAGGAAAGUACUUUGCUUCAAGAAAGGACUCUGGUAGUAAUGAUCAAGAAGAUGCCUGCCACGAACUUUCUAAAAAAACGCCAUUUCACAAGACCAUAGCAGUUUCUUCUGAAAACACUAAUUCACAGAUACCCAUGGCAGGCUAAGAGGUUAAGAGACCCAUCUAGAGGAGUGGAAAAAAUUAUGAACAAGUCCUUUGUCUUGACCCUUAGUGUACUAUUUAGAUUCUUUAUUAUAGCAUUCAUCUGGAACAAGGAACUGCAGCUUCUCUCCUGGAUACGGUCAGGGACUGAGAAGACCCUGACUGGUCUAUCAUUCCCUGGAUCCUUCGCAUUGGGAUUUAAUCCUCAAAUAAAGCUCAGAGAGGGAUUUGGAGAAAGAAAAUGAAAUGAGAUCAACAGUUUAUUAAAAUAUUUUAUGCAGAUUAAUAACGUGCAUUAAAUGUGCACAGAGACACAGGUAUAUCACUGUUGUAUUUGUCAAAGAUAAACUAUAUUGCUGUCAAGCAUCCAUAUAAAAUCCAUGUAGAUGCACCUAUAUGCAAGCUAAACUUGAGUCUUGCCUUCUACAUGAAGAAUGCUCUCUCCAAUUCUGUUGUGGUCUAUCUUCUUAAGGAAUAAUGAAUGCAGAGGCAAGAGACAUAACAGGAUCUCUUUAAGGAAACAGAAGGUAGUAGGCAAAUAAGCUGGGGAAUGGAGUCCAGGUGGUAAUUGGAUUGCUAUCUUCUGCACAGGAUAAAACCUAGUUGAUUGUCAUCUUCAGGGAGAAAAGGGAUUCCAGGGAGAAUAAGGAAACUUAAGGGCUUGCUGGUGAGUGGCUCAGGGGAAGAGUGGGGAGCUCUAUCCCAAGACAUUUUUCCUGCAUCGCUGGUAGAUGGCCAGAGGGCUUAAGCUUUCAGUUGCUGUUAGGAAAAAUCAGAAAAAACCACCUCAGCAGAGACAGGAUUAAGAUCUUUGCAUCAAAGGUUGUGCGCCAGUCAGGAAGCUAGAGGAGGCUACAUUGCUAGCUCUUAGAAAGGGAAUGGUAUCAUUAAAUACUUCUAUUAGAAAAAUCUGGUAGGAAACUGAGAGGCAGGACCAUGUUGUGCUGUGAGGGAGUGUGUUCUGGUACGGCACUGGGUUGUUAACUGAAAAUGCCAAUUAAAUUCUUGCUACUUACGUGGCAUGAAAAAAAUGUCAUUAAUUUGGUGGAAUACAAAAACACCCCUUCAACAAAAUGAAUGUUGUUUAUUGGUCAUGACAUAUCACGUUAAUGGUGUCA
Molecule: long non-coding RNA, 1479 nt
Organism: Gavialis gangeticus (Gharial)
Lineage: Eukaryota; Metazoa; Chordata; Crocodylia; Gavialidae
Exons: 4
Source: RefSeq, a predicted model, not a curated record